RNAcentral lists this long non-coding RNA (1527 nucleotides) under Betta splendens (Siamese fighting fish). RNAcentral describes it as "lncRNA (ENSBSLG00000009416.1)". The record is from RNAcentral. Lineage: Eukaryota; Metazoa; Chordata; Actinopteri; Anabantiformes; Osphronemidae.
CCCGACCAGAAGCAGCGCAUCACAGGCUCAGACCUGAAAACUCUCCCUAAUGUGCGCUGAGUGCUCCAUAGGCGUCUAUGAAUUCUGUGGCAUCCCUGCGUUUCUCUAUGGAAUCAAAUAACUGUGCAAAUCCAACUAAAAUCUCAUGUUGCACAACUGUUUUCCCACAAACCCACAUGUUUACAGCCCUGGUGAGGGAGCAGCAGCCAAAAGACGUUUAAGGAAACCAACACGACUUCGGGAAACUUGAACGUGGCUCCUGCCUCAACACGCUGGCACCUUCCUGUUGAUUUCAGUCAACUGCAACUUCCCGCAACCACCAGAUUAAUUGAUGGCUCAGGUGAAAUAAAUACUCUGAAAACGACUAAUAUAAAAUUGCUAAUGGGAAAUCAAAUCAUUAAAACGUUUCACUCCAUCAUCAAUGAUUUUUGAGUGUUCUGCGAUAGAAGACGAGCAUCACCACGUGCCACCUCUUCCUCAGAGCCAUCAGUGGCCGCUGCAACUGCAGCCCCUCCGAAGAGCCCUGCACCCUGUACUCUGGGACCCUUUUUACCGAGAGUGUAGAAUUACAUUAUUCUGCAUUUAGAGGGUUCAGUCCUUGACUCUUCGCCCCCUCAGGGGAAAACCUGGCGCCUCCUGCCCGGAUCAGACGAAACUGGACGGAGUGGAGAAGAGGAGAUGAGAGGAGGAGGAAGGGGGACUAAAAAAAACUGAAAAAAAGAGAUAGAAACCGCUGAAGGACGGAGACAGAGAGGAUGAAGAGUGUCAUUCACUAAGCGUAAAGGCAGCGAGAAACAGGUAAAGACCCAUAUUAUUAUUAUUAUUAUUAUUAUUAUUAUUAUUAUUAUUAUUAUUAUUAUUAUUAUUAUUAUUAUUAUUAUUAUUAUUAUUAUUAUUAUUAUUAUUAUUAUUAUUAUUAUCAACCUCGUUUAUUUUCUUCCACGCAAAAAGCUGCCAUGCUUCAGAUUCCUCGCCUUCAUCGUUUCCCUCUUUUCCUUUUAAAUGCAAACCGAUUCAUUUCGCUCUCUCCAGCUGUUUUCCUCAGAUAAACCCAUCGAUUAGACAUCAGUUAGAUUCGUAGCCAGCGCUUUAUUGAGUAAGUUGGUGAACCUUAAAGUGAAUUACAGGAACUGCUCUGCUCCUCCGGUGAACUAUUUAGGUGAAUCUAAUUGAGUUUGAUAAAGACCAGCUAUUUUAUUUAUUCUAAUCGCGGCUUUAUUGGGAAACUAGCUUGUACAUUAUUAUUAUUAUUAUUAUUAUUAUUAUUAUUAUUAUUAUUAUUAUUAUUAUUAUUAUUAUUAUUAUUAUUAUUAUUAUUAUUAUUAUUGUUAUUGUUAUUAUUAUUAUUAUUAUUAUUAUUAUUAUUAUUAUUAUUAUUAUUAUUAUUAUUAUUAUUAUUAUGUUGGUUGUUGUUGUUAAGUAUCUAAUUGUCCUCUGUUUCUAAGCUAUAUUUUGCAACAGAUGACUACAAACACUUUAAUAUUUUUCGGUCAAUACUCUUUGGCAGUUAAUCAAUAACAUCUGCGA